GUGCCUGUAGCUCAGCUGGAUAGAGCGUCUGACUACGGAUCAGAAGGCCAGGGGUUCGAAUCCCUUCAGGCACA
Molecule: transfer RNA, 74 nt
Filed under: Deinococcus aquiradiocola
Lineage: Bacteria; Thermotogati; Deinococcota; Deinococci; Deinococcales; Deinococcaceae
Also listed under: 3 other names
Rfam family: tRNA
About the family: Transfer RNA (tRNA) molecules are approximately 80 nucleotides in length. Their secondary structure includes four short double-helical elements and three loops (D, anti-codon, and T loops).
Source: Rfam by way of RNAcentral